Molecule: RNA transcript, 1874 nt
Organism: Triticum aestivum (bread wheat)
Lineage: Eukaryota; Viridiplantae; Streptophyta; Magnoliopsida; Poales; Poaceae
Exons: 7
Source: RefSeq, a predicted model, not a curated record
CAGACGUUACAGGAAAGCUGAGCCGUCACACCUGGUCGUUGUGGAGGGUUCGUGGGGGUAGCUGACGAGUCGUGCGGCGGCUGCUGCUUCUUCCGGGGGCGCCGCGAUGGAAGCUGACGGGCUGGAGUUCCUGCUGGAUUCAGUAGACCGAUUUCCACUUAGGUAGGAGUUAGCCGAUAGUUUGGAAGAUGCAGACCCGAUAGUCGCCGGCGAAUCAAAACUGCGGGCCUGGGCCGCCUGGCAAUUAGGCGACGGCAGCCCUAGGAGGUCCGAAUGUGAGAUCCGGCGAAGGAAGAAUGAUUCGCCGACAUUUCUGCACAAUCCUCGGGGAAGGUCAAACCGGAUGCCCCUAGGUGCACGAGAUAAUGCAGAGUUUUUUUUCUCAGUUCAACGUGGCCAUCAUUUUGCUCGGCAACUAAGAAUGUUCAGAAGGCAGGUGGCAUGGUUGAAUAUUGCAGUUGAGGCUAGACAGUGCCGCCCACCCACACACACAAUAGAAGCCCAUGUGCCUCACGGAUGAGUGGCCUCAAGCAAUCUAUCCGCAAAUUUACAGAAGAACCUACUAAGAGUGUGGUGAAACCAGAACUUGGUUUGAGUUUCGACUAGUUGGGUGAGGCGUAUGACUUUGACAACUUUUGUUCAGCGGAGGUUGGCUUUGGGAUAUGGUAUGGCAAGAGUAGACUGCAUCCUGAGAGAACCAAUUUAGUGCAAGAGAUCGUGUAUGGCUCUUUGGUGAGAGAUAUUUGUGUUCAUCUGAAUUUUGUUUUCGAUGACAGUGCUUUCUGACAGGAGGGAUUAACAUGGAUUAUUUAUUAUGUGGACUUGAUGUGCACGGACGAGCAAGUAGAAAGUUUUGAGUGGGUGUUUGCACAAUUUCUUAUUAUGAUGGGUGGACCUGCUCCAAAAACAAUACUCAUAGUCUUUGCAGACUAUAUCAUAGCUAAGCCGGCCAUUGCCAAAGUGUAUCCACACAGUGUGCACAGAUGGUGCAAAUGGCACAUACUGAGAAAGCAAAGGAGUGUCUGGGUCCGUUGUGCAUGAAGAAGAAUGAGUUCAGACCUGAGUUUCACAAGGUUGUGAACCACAUGUUGAUGAUCGACGAGUUUGAGGCUGCUUCAGGCAGGAGCACUAUAAAAAGGAUGGUACAACCAGCCAGUUGGUUCUCAAAACUUUGUUCAGAACAGAGCAGGUAGAGCGUGCAUGGCUCCCGCGGCAGUCGUUGGUGAAGCAAGUGGUAAGAUAACGACGACGGGUGAAGUUUCAGAAGAAAAAAAAAGACGACGGGUGGCACUGAGCAGCGUAGGGGCGAUGUCACUGAGGACGGCCAUGAAGCCGGAGGCGUGGACCACGACCGGCGAGGAGGGUGAAGAGCAGUGGGAUCAAUACGAGCGUGAGGUGUUGGAGUUUGAGGAGGAAGCAUGGAAGACCUCCGCAAAAGGCGGGGAAUCUAGCACGGUCAAGCUGGCGGGUGAGGAGAGCUUCGGCGAGCACGAUCCAGCCGGCGCAGUCAUUAUCAACGAUGUACCAGCCUUCUUGAUAGCGUUGGCGGCGCUGAAAAGCUGGAGGAAUCAGAUACAGAGGAGAUGAGCAGAGGUCUGGCUAAGCGAGGGCGAAUUGAACCAUAGAUGGACUUUGAUGUUGGGGAGAUAGCAACGUUGCCACUGACCAUUUUGGAUGGCACGUACGUUGUGUACUGAUUUGUUUUUCCGAUUAGUUGUUUACUGAUUCGUGACACCCUUGUGCGUGAAAGAAAUUUGUUGGGAGCAGGCUGUUCAAACUAAAGGAAUCCAAAAUCCCUAGCCUUUUGUAAACUGUUGUACAGCCAGAAACUUAAUGGCCCAUGGUUGAAAUGGCGUGGAAUGUUAAUUUGUGCA